CAGAUGAUGCCUAUCAACUGUUUUAAAAAGUAUGGUUCUGCUAUCACUCUUGGGAUGGGACCUGCGGUGCAUUAGCUAGUUUGGUGGGUAACGGGCCUACCAAGGCGAUGAUGCAUAGCCGAGUUGAGAGACUGAUCGGCCACAUUGGGACUGAGACACGGCCCAAACUCCUACGGGAGGCAGCAUAGGGAAUCUUCCACAAUGGACGCAAGUCUGAUGGAGCAACGCCGCGUGAGUGAAGAAGGGUUUCGGCUCGUAAAGCUCUGUUGUUGGUGAAGAAGGACAGGGGUAGUAACUGACCUUUGUUUGACGGUAAUCAAUUAGAAAGUCACGGCUAACUACGUGCCAGCAGCCGCGGUAAU
This 362-nucleotide ribosomal RNA is filed under the name uncultured Lactobacillus sp. RNAcentral's name for it is "bacterial SSU rRNA". It matches the Rfam family "Bacterial small subunit ribosomal RNA", at positions 180 to 524 of the family's 1533-position model. The record is from RNAcentral. Lineage: Bacteria; Bacillati; Bacillota; Bacilli; Lactobacillales; Lactobacillaceae.